ACGGGUCUGAUAAACGUAAGCUGGGAUUGUCUUUCGAGUUUGUGCAUUAAGCUUUCGUUAGUUAGAAGGAAGGAGAUUAUCCAUCCUUCCAAAGUAAGGAAACUAGUGUCAAGUUUAUCGGGAAGACGACGAACAUGAGAGACCAUUAAUGUUGUACUAGUUAUCUGUAAGUGGUCAUCACUCCUGAUAACUUAGUGAGUAGCUACACAUAAAAAACCGAAUUUUAAGACCACGAAAGAGAAGAAGAAGAAGCGACUUUAGUUGACUGACAGAAGGCCGAAAGAGGUAAACUGAGCAUGCGCGGGCGUCUUCACAACGUCGGCCAUAUUAGAAUUUCCUAGCGAGAGAAAGAGGUGAAUAUUUCUAAUCACCGUUACUCUGAAUAAAGUGUAUGGUCAUUUUCGGUUUGCUCUGUAGGGUGAUGG
Molecule: long non-coding RNA, 425 nt
Organism: Macrobrachium nipponense
Lineage: Eukaryota; Metazoa; Arthropoda; Malacostraca; Decapoda; Palaemonidae
Exons: 2
Source: RefSeq, a predicted model, not a curated record